Molecule: RNA transcript, 13320 nt
Organism: Bombus huntii
Lineage: Eukaryota; Metazoa; Arthropoda; Insecta; Hymenoptera; Apidae
Gene: Nckx30C
Gene name: sodium/potassium/calcium exchanger Nckx30C
Exons: 8
Source: RefSeq, a predicted model, not a curated record
GGAGGAGAGGAGGAGGAGGUGGACGGAGAAGAAGAAGACGAAGGAGGAGAAGGAGGAGGAGGACGGUGGACUCGCUAACGACGGCGAACGUCCUCGAGGGUGCAAGAUACCAGCACCAGCAACACCACCGACGACGAUGAUCGUGACAGGCGGCGAUCGACGUACAUGUUGGAGAAGGAGGCGCCGAUUCGCGGUUGCGGUACUGGCCUCGGCUCUACUGACCCUAGCGAUCGGUCCCGCGCCAACCGAGGGACACAGGCCAGCACCGAACAAUCCGAUCAUUCUGCAGACGAGCACCAGCACGACAACUACGCCCUUCUACGUGCACACGGUGAAUGGUACCGUCUUAACGAACGGCAACUACGAUGAGUUCGAUGCACACGCGGAGGACGGAUACAACAGUACCAUCCAUCAUCACCAUCAUAAGAAGGUCGGCGGUAACAUGACCGAGGAGAAGGCGCCUCUGUUUCCCGAAGAUCUCUUCACCGUCCAUCAACGGCGACGCGGUGCCGUGAUACUUCACGUAAUCGGUGUGGUGUACAUGUUUGUCGCGUUGGCGAUCGUUUGCGACGAGUUCUUCGUGCCGUCUUUGGACGUGAUUAUCGAGAAACUGGAGAUCGCCGACGACGUUGCAGGUGCUACCUUCAUGGCGGCCGGCGGUUCGGCCCCGGAACUCUUCACAUCGAUAAUCGGCGUGUUCGUAUCGUUCGACGACGUCGGUAUCGGCACCAUCGUCGGUUCGGCCGUCUUCAAUAUUCUCUUCGUGAUCGGCAUGUGCGCUAUAUUCUCGCGUACCGUGCUCUCCCUCACAUGGUGGCCUCUAUUUCGCGACUGCACCUUUUAUAGCGCCAGUCUGCUCACCCUGAUCUAUUUCUUCCGUGAUAAUUAUAUUUACUGGUACGAGGCCCUCGUACUCUUUGGAUUCUACUUGGCUUACGUGAGCUUCAUGAAGUGGAACCAACCGAUGGAAAAGCUGGUCAAGAGAGUGAUCUACAGGAACAAGGUGACCCGGGUGAGGUCUACCGAUCAGCUGAUGCCCUCGCACCAGAGCGCCGCCCAGGCAUUGCAGCAUCCGAACGCGACGAACAGUAGCGAGACGAGCGUGGGUGGCGUGUCGGGUGCAUGCGGAAGCAGCGGCAUACCGGCGGGUGGAGAGGCCGGGUGCAGCAGCAGAGGUGGCAGCAGCAGUGGUGCCGGUGGCACGGCCGGACAGGGCUGCGAGCAGGCAGCCCUCGGUGGCUCCUCGUCUCAUUCCAGGGAGAGCCACGCCAAGUUCAGGCACGGCUUGCUACAGCUUAUGAUCCACACGAUCGAUCCGCUCCACGACGGUCAGUCCCGCGCCGGCAAAGUGGACGAGAAAGCGACGCAAUUGCACGCGAUAGCUUCGCUAAAGGUGCUACUGGAUGCCACCAGGCCGCACAACGGCGCUGCUACGUCGACCGCCGCCCAUUAUUCCGGUGCCUCGUCGAGAGAGACCACUCUGCAGCUGCAGCAAGGCUCCCAGGGCACCACCACGACCACCACUACGACGACGACCACCGCCGGCACCACCGCCGGCAUCCAGGAACUUCCCAAUGGCGGUAUAGCCGCUGGCCUCGAUGCGGGGCUCGAUUCGGGAGAGGAGGAUGAACCUCCGGAAGCCUUGGACAUGGGCUGGCCCAGCAGUCCCAGGAAAAGACUAACUUACAUUUUGGUCGCGCCAAUUCUGUUCCCUCUGUGGCUGACGUUACCAGACACAAGGACACCCAGAGGGAAAAAGUUCUUCGCGGUGACGUUCAUCGGCUCGAUCUUCUGGAUCGCAGCGUACUCGUACCUGAUGGUCUGGUGGGCGAACAUCGCCGGCGACACGGUUCGCAUUCCGCCGGAAGUGAUGGGCCUGACGUUCCUCGCUGCCGGCACCAGCAUCCCAGACCUGAUCACCAGCGUCAUCGUCGCGCGAAAAGGAUUCGGCGACAUGGCCGUCUCCAGCUCCGUUGGCAGCAACAUCUUCGACGUGACCGUUGGGCUUCCGGUACCGUGGCUACUCUACGGCUUGAUCUACGGAAAACCCGUGGAGGUGAACUCGGUGGGCAUGGUGUGCAGCAUAGCGAUCCUCUUCUGCAUGCUGUUGUUUGUCAUCAUGAGCAUCGCCUGUUUCAAGUGGCGAAUGAACAAGGGCCUCGGGUUUACGAUGUUCCUCCUCUACUUCGUCUUCGUUGCCGUCUCGCUGAUGUUCGAGUACGAGUUCCUGGUCUGUCCAGCCUAGGAACGCGGACCAACCGAGCGAUCCAGAGGUCCAGCAGAGACGGUAGAUGGACGCACAUUUACGGGUCUCGUCAUCGUCAUUAUCAUCGUCGUCGGCGAAUCGUCCACGGCCGAUGAGAACAAUCUUCCUCGAGCGCCGCAUCGAUCGAAAGAGGAACGACAGACAACAGCCUUCCCGAAAUAACAACCGAAACAAUGUUGAUGCAUCACAUCCCCUUCCCUCGUUCCCUAAAGAAUCUCGUUACUCUCCCAUCGCCGGUUUAACGAUUAAACGGUUAUUACACGUCACCCAGGUUACGAAGCGUUUUUGUUCUAGUCGAGAUACGUGUAAAUAUUGUAAAAACCUUGAAAUACCUGAAACAAAAUACUCGUCUCGUUAAGAAUUUUAGCGGCGAAUUCUGUUCGACGAACAGCCGUAGUCGUCGCUUUGUCUGAACACAGCGAGCGCGUCGGCCAAUCGUGCCAACGAUCGCGCCAACUGUAUCUACGUUUGCGUAAUCUAGAGAGAAACAGAUCGCUACGAUCUCGUUCCUUUUUGCUAUUUCUUCUUCCUCCGACGCUACUUCUUCUUCUUCUUCUUCUUCUUCUUUUCCUACCUUCUUUUUCUUCUUUUAUCUCUUCUCCGUAAUUCUACUCCUUGUUACUUCUACUCCUAUUCUACUGCUUUUAUACCACGUUGUUUCUUCCCACGAUACUUAUCCUAGAUGUAGCGUCUCGAUUCGAACAACUCGCCCGUCGAAGCCACUCGUUAGACUCUCGCACGCUCGAAGCUCGACGAAACGCCGUUUUCCAACGCGAUUUCUCUCGAGGAUCGUCGAACGCACGACCGAGUUUAGAGCUACCGGUUUACCCGCGGCAGAAGGCAUCCGAUACGUCGAUGUUUUCGCUUUGAUACGCGACUCGUCAAGUGGCGUUAGUCGUACUGCCAAAUUGUUUCACGAUGGAAACAAUGAAUUCGACACCGUGUAAAGUAAAAUAUAUCGAUCGAACGAAUCCACGAUUCGUGCCGCUAGUUCCCGAUCGCGAUCUAAAACCGGUUGACGCGAUUUCAUCCGCCGAGUAAGCGAUCGACGAUCUCUCGUUGCACAGUGGACGGCCUGACGGCUCGCUGAUUUCUCUCUAUAAAGUGCAACACUUUCUUUUCGUCUAUAACCGUAGGAUCUAGCCAAAUCUACUCUGUCGUGUUCGUAAAAUCUGCACGGACGCGCUUCCGACGCUCGACGCUUCGUUUUCGAAUUCGUUACACGCGAUAGCGUUAGGCAACGUUCCCCUUUCGCCGUGUAUUUUUAGUCACGCGCGAAGAACAAGGCAACUAUCGGAACAACGUUGCGAAAAAUUCAUUCAGGGACAAAACAUGCGAGUGACAAACGUUCCGGCUAAUUGGCCAGCAGCGUGUCACCUCGAUUAAUCGCUCGAAACUCGCAAAGCCGUUCGAUCCGCGUUGUGCUUGCUCGAUACCAUUGUUCCGCCUAACGCUAUCCCCCGAGGCCGUUUUUUCCGCGUACGGCUCCGCGAAAUUACAUUGUCUCGCGAACGAAAACAGUAGCCGUGGGAGGAAAGAGACGGCGCGCGAGGGUCGGAACCAUGACGAAACGCGGCGAACUCCGGCUCGCCUUCAAUCGAUCGGCCACGCGUCGCGUUUUCAUUGACCGAAAACGAAUCCGCCGAUCGUCAGCGCUCUAACGUUGUACGCAGAGAACGGAAGCGCCGAUUCGGAUCGCGAAUCGCCGAAACGACGGUGGAUCGAUCGAUCGUUUCGACCAUAGAAAAUUGAUUAUCUCUCUUCUAAUUAUUCUACAAGUGUAAGAAUAUCUUCGGUAUUUGAAAAGAAUCGCCGACGUUGAAAUCGAAAAAAGACCACCCUCGUUUCAGCAACGAUUUUACCGGUAGAACACGCGCCUCCGGUUUCCGGCGUGCCUGUUUUUAACUUCGAUUAAUAGCUAUUCAACUAAUCUACGUAAGAGACACGAGAAGAGGUCGAAUCUUCCUAAACGCGUAGCGAAACUGACGAAACGCAGUCUUCGAGGGGAGUCGUCGUGCAGUCGACUCGAACGUCAUUCGAAACGAACACCCGCGACGCUUGCUCUGCACCUCUCUCUUGAUGGUAUUCAGUUUACGAUCGAGUCGCUGCACGCCGUUCUUUCUCUGUAGAAGAGUAACGCUAACGAACCUCCAAUACCGGAGAUCACGGGGCAAAUAGAAGAGUGAAACGCUCGAGGCAAAAACGAAAAAGAGACUUUUUGGUUACUUAAAGGAAAAAGGAGGGAAAAGAGCGUGGUUCCGUGAUCCCGGAUCGAAAGCGACUCUCACUAAGCUAUCUUUCGCUGACAUUCUUUCGAGUUUUCGAUGUCACGCUACGUACGUUUCGAGCGCGUAGAUUAUAAACAAAUAGGUAUAAACGUGAUAUCGACUAAGAUAAGGAUACUGAAAGCGGAGAAGGCGAAAUCGCAGCGCGACUGCGGUUCGACGAGAGGAUUAAAAGGAACGACGUAUAUAUCCGGAACCGCCUGAACGCCUAACAGCGGCCUAGCUUUUUACUAAAGAAGAAAAGAAAAAAAAAACACACAAAAAAAAAAGAAAUACUCGCACAACGCAAAAUGCUGUUUACGGAUGCAGAGAAUCAAAUCGUAACGAGGAGAGACCAGAAAUCACGGUGAACCGGAGAAGAAACGGAGUAGAAAAUGACAAGCGAACCUAACCGAUUCGGUAACGAAAUUAAACGAGAAUUCACUUCGCGCAUACUUCAAACGUUGUCACACUUUUGUAUACUCUCGACUAUCGAAACUAAGAGGAGGAACCAUCGCGGUUCACGGUUCAAGCAGCUUUACGCUCUAAGAAGCGAGCUCGUGUUUACGGCGCGUUCACCGUACCCACGAAUCGUAGUUGUUCUACUCUUUAGCCGCUGCUACAUCUCGUUAAUAUCUCGUUCUCGCUCUUCGCUACGGGACUCUUACGAAAAACGUCCGUAGCCGGGUGCUGUUUGACUCUCGCGUUUCACCGACUUUUACAUCUUCUAGCAUCGAACUAAUCUUACGCUUCUACUACUAUUACGAUAAUUCUACGUUGAUCCGUGGCGAUCGGCCGUGGUAACGCGUUCUCGAGGACCGACUUGGCGAUAGCUCGAAGAAAGAAGAGGAACGUUCUAUCGGAAUAGAUGCGAUCGCCGAUCGUCACGUGGUUAUUACGCUGCGUCGCGUCUAAUUGUCAGCCGUGUUCGCCUUAUCGUCUACCGAUACUACUUCAACGAGGAAGUUUCGUAGUCUGUCGAGAAACGAACGGACUAGGCGUUCGUCACGCACAUGCUCGCCAAACGCUGGGUGGCUUUCAUCGAUCCUCUCGCAUCCGCGGAUCGUUCUUUCGAAAGUGGGCUCUCGAUCGUGCCAGUUUCCAUCGAGAAAAUCGCAGGAUCAAACGGGAAAAGGCGAAGCGUUCUCGAAGCGUCCGAACGAAAGGUACGGGAAGGACAAUGAGAAAGUGAAUGCAGCGGCUUCUCACGAGACGAUUUGACAUAACAAGCGCGUAAAUAUAACGACGAAAGCAGGAGAGGAACCUUUAGCGCGAAGUAGCUGGUAGGACGUAGCGUUUCUUAAUAGUUUCGUAAACGAUUACAAGAAGCAAGUAGCGAAAGAUGCACAAUACGAUCUUCCCGAAGUACCGAUCACCGAUUAACAAAACGAUUAAAGGAUACCAGAAAAUGUACAUACACACACAUGCGUACACGGACAUACACAGGACAAGCACACACACACACGCGCGCACGCACACAUAUACACAUAUACGCGAAGACACGUACAGAGACAUAUGGAAAGAAGAGAAACAAACGGCGGCGCCUCUUUUUUGCAAUUUAGCAUUUUUAGUACCACGCCGAGGAAGAGAAUGAAAGAGUGUGUAUGUGAAAGAGAGAGAGAGAGAGAGAGAGAGAUUCCGUGUAGCUUCGAUUAUUAUAAACGUUUUCAAUCAAACAUUUGUUAUCGUAGCGCGUACUGAUACCGUAACGAUCGAUUAUUAUUAUUAUACAAAAGCUCGUCGAAACAUAGAAAAAUCACACGCAACCAACAGGUUCAACGCUGGCGACGUUUGAUCGUCGCAGAAGCGAUCCGACCUGCGUCGAGCACGGGUGUGGCCGAGGCCGCGAACGAAGUAACGCAAUUCCUCGAGCUUCCGGCCUUCCUCUCGUACGAAUUCCUCUUGCAUUCGAUCAACGACAGAGAACGAACGAUUGACAAAGAAAGCCGAGCAUCGUCUCUACGAAACAAAUGUUCUUCCUGGAUUCAACGACGAGAAAUGUGAAAGCGAAUCGUCCGGAUGGGUAACGAAACUCCGUACGUUCUUUUCGCGGAAAUUUCUCGUCCCGAAUCGAAAUCCUGUACAAAACGGAACGCAACGUAGUUUAACGUAUUCGUGCCCUUAAAGAGAAAAGAGGGUAACGAUAAAUAGAGAGUUCGUUAGGUUGUUCUCGUUGAAACGAAAACGGAUGAACGGGAAAUCGCGUGAUAAGGCGAAGGUCGAACGGGCGAAAUGCUCGAAGCUCGGGGUAUUAUCGCGCUCGUAAUUUGUACUUUAUAAUACUUUAGGAUAAACAUCGUUGAGGGUUGAAAGGGGACAUCGAGUUUCAAUUCUAAUCUUUGAAUUUUCGACGCGCGUCUCGCCGUGAGACGUAACGGGACACACAUCGUUGCGGCCGAUCCCAUAUUUAACGGCUCGAGAUUCAUUUUUAUAUAUUAAAAGAGAAAAUAAAAAAGGAACAAAAAAAGAAACAAAUACGCGUAUGUAAGAGCGAUCGUUCAAGUCGAAUCUUGCGUUGUCGAAGACGUCGGUACACGAAUGCUACCGGUGCCAGUGUUGACCGAAACCGUGUGUUGCGAAUUGUGUUCAUGGUUCAAGAGUAAAUUCCUUCGUUUUCUUUCGCCGUGUUCGGGACGCAUGUAGAUCUAAGCCGAUGGAAAAGGUUCCUUUUGUUCGACCGAUGGAAACAGGAGAACGAGGAAGGAAGGAUCUUAUCGAAGUAUAUUUUACGACCCACUUUCUUUUCAACGCGAUCGUCAUCGCGGUUGCCCUAAUUUCUUUUUCUUUUUCCUUUCGCUCUCGUCUCUUUUCGUUAUUGUAUUCUAAAUACGGCAGCGAUAAAAAAAGAAAAAAAAUAUGCGCGCGUCAAACUCCGUUGGUUGAUUCUUUACACAACCGUUGUGUAAUUCGUAUCACGGGAUCAGGGUCGUUCGUUCGAGAAAUUUUUAUUCUAUUCUCGUGUCGCGAUUCUUCGAGCAUCCGCAAAUAACGAGACGGGGACAGUCGCUCUUCGUCAAAUAACACAAACGGAGUACCAAUGUGAAUCGAGGGAAUUCGGACGUGACACGCGAAACACUUUCGAGCAAAACGCAAUGCCGUGACGAUAGAGCCGAAUGACCGUAAACCUGUCGAACGGUUUGCAUCCUUCGCGAUACGAGAGGACAAACUUCUUUCCCUCUGUAUGACGUACGGUCGUAUCGAAAAUAUUGUUUUCCAUUCCGAUAACGUAGCUUUAAUUGUCGUUAUAUGGUUUAUUUAAAAGAAGGAAAGGAGACGGGGAGAAAAUGAGGAAGAGAAGGAUCGGGAGUAAGAGCGCGAGCGCGUACCAGAACGCACGAGAGAACGAGAAAAAUAAUUGUGAGCUUGAAUGUAUGUAGAUAGGGGUGUGAGUGAGUGAAAGAGAGUGAUGGACAGAAGGUGGGGAGGAGAGGGGAGGGGUUGUGGAAGAAAACCGAACAGAAGAGAACAGAAAUUCCGCUUACAAAGGCUUAAAAAUACAUUCUCUUGGCAAUGACAAGGCGCGAACGCACAUAUCAAAGAGAAGGAGACGCUGACGAUUUAAUAAAGUAACUAAAUACUUAGCGAUAUUAUUAGAUACUUAUAUUGUAAGAUACUUAGGGAAAAGUUAAAAAAGAAAAAAAGGAAAAGGAUAAAGGUGUUACAAAGUUUCUAUAUAUGAUUAAAGAUUAUAUUAUUAAAUACGUAUUAUAUGUAUAUAUAUAGUAUAUAUAUAUAUACAGUACAUAUAGUAUAUAUAUCGUAUACACAUAUAGGUACACAUCUAUAUGUAUAUACAUAUAGAUAUUAUAUAUACAUGUACUGUUUUCGGGUGGUGAUCCAGCCUGUCGAACGAUUCGAUCGCAUGCAGAUUGCAGAUCGUUGUUGGACACGCAGUGGCGGGCGCGGGCGCGCGCACACACCCACACACGCACAUCGCACUAGGUAUACUAUAAGACGUGUGUGCGCGCGUGCGAAAGUUGCACGCGUGAAAGAUGCCAGUUAAUUAUCGAUCUUCGGCGUACGCUAUACGUUCUCUUACGAUUAGUUACACGCAACAAUACAGGUGCUCGCUUGCAACGUGCGCGCGCGCGUGCGCGUGUACGCACGACACACACACAUAUAUAUAAAUAUAUACAUAUACGUGUGAUAUCGUUCGUUCCGAUUUUUCUUUUCACGUAUAUUAUAUACAAAGCACACGUAUAUAUAUAUAUAUAUACAUAUAUUUACAUAUAUAUAUACGUAUAUACAUAUAUAUAUAUAUUUUAUGAUUGUCGUUGUUGAAUUCGUCGCAUUACAUAGGGUUUUACCCCCGUCCAUCGCCGCAGUAGUAGACGUACUGGAUACGACGUAAUUGAGAAAAAGUACUUCGGAUUUUACGAGGUAAACGGAUGACGAGAGAAACCUAGGUUACCGCAGAAUCUUAGAUGAAAAUGGAUAAAGUAACAAAAUAUUAUAAAUAAUUAUACUAUUAUACAUUAUAUACAUAUAUUAUCUACAUACUUAUAUACAUAAAGGCGCAUAUAAAUAUGUAAAGGUCUAACGUUGUAUACGUCGGGAUGAGAGAGUCCGAGGAUAGGAUGAUUUUAUUACGGCAACGCUUUCUUUCGCUCGUGCGUACGGAUAUAUUUGAUAAUUGUCGCUCUUCUCUUAACCCUUUCUCUGCCCUUGAGUAUUCGCUCCACGCGCGCCAUAUAUCCCCGCGAUCGUUCCCUUCCAAAUUACACACCUUUUACAUCGGUGAGUGGAUCUUGAUCGCUUCCCCGAUACGAUGCGAGUAGAUGAAAAGAUCGUGUCGCGAUACUCUGCGCUUCGGGAACAGAAGGGCCGUUAGAUCAACGAUCUAAACUUAUUUCUCCGUUACUCGAUCUAUGGGUGGUAAACAGAAUAUUUUUACGAAACUAUCGUUCUAGCGACACGACCGUAGAAUAAUUUCAAAGCUACAUUGUUAAAUUACUAUUCACCGAUUGUUAUAUCAACGUUUAUCUAUUGUUUUUAUCGUACAAACGACGACGUAGAGAAUUAGAAGGAAAAGAAAUUUUUCUAAAGGAAAAGCGUGGAGUUGGAGAAUGACGACAGUACUAGGGUUAAAUUGGAACGUACAAAGGUCGAUUUUCUGUUUUUCGCGGAUAUUUAGGAUACGUGCGAUUAGACGAAACCAGCCUAGUACGUAUAUAUACAUGUAUAUGUAUAUGUAGAUGUAUCUAUAUAUACGUGUAUAUAUAUACACAUACACACGCACACAAGCAUAUAUAUGUAUGUAUGUAUAUAUAUAUAUUAUAUACACUUUCACAUAUACACAGACGUACACGUACAACACACCACACAUACACAAAUAUACACAUAUGUAUAAAUAUAAAUAUGAAUUUUACUACGGAUUGCAGCGUGCACGUGCAAUUUGAUCGGGAAACAACGAGGUCUCGAUAAGCGUUCGAUUUGACGAUUUUUGUGAUACCUGUCAAAUAUGUAAACGGCAAAUCGAUCUUCUCGAUAGACGACCACGCUUUUCGUUUGUCUCAGUCACGAUGUAAUUUCGUACGGAUACCGGUACGAGAAUAUUCUCAACGGAGACAAGACAAAUGCUGCACCAACGACCAUAUUAUUUACACCUCACGCAGGAUGAUUUUCGGCUUAUAUCUAGAGAAAUCGCUGAUCGCGUGCGAGUUGAACGUUAACGAGGAUAUUACAUGCAAGAUAAAAAAAAGAAAAAAAAGGAAAAAAAAUCAGUACAGUGAAUAUCUCGCAGGAAGAUAAAUAAAUAAAUGAAAAUAUAACAGGCUGAUGUUAAAGAGAAAUGUCGCGGUAGAACCGAUAGCGAACGAACAUUUAGGAUCGGUAAUUGAACGUAGCCGAUUACAACGUUUUCCUUUCUUCUGUCUUGUUCGAUCGUAAAAACAUACUUCACGUUAUCUCGUCGAUUACAAUCGAAAUUGCACGAUUUGUUCUUUUAUUCGAAAUAUCGAAAUCUUGGAGUCUGUUACAGUUCGCCGGGGGAUUUUAAUUAAACGUCGUGCGGUGAUCGUUAACGAAAAUUGGUGAUCGGCCGAAUCAACGAUCGAUCGGAUGCUCGACUUUCGUUCGACGUGUCGGUGCUAUCGCGACCGAUAACGCGUGCAAUAAAACAGAAUAUGUAAACAAUAUUAAUAUCAUUAUAUACAACAUUUUUACGGCAUAUACGAAUACGAUGUAGAGAAAACAAGUGAAAACAAGUUUAGGAUAAUAUUACUUGUUGUUGUCUACCAUAGCGUUGUAGUUAUAUACAAUACAGGUAGGAAAUUAUAGGCAAGCCGAAGCGAAUGAGAGGGAGAACGAGUGCGAGAGUGUAAUGGAACUGAGAGUAAACGCGUAUGAACGAUGUACGAGUGUGUGUUAGAGAAAGAGAAAGAAAGAAAGAAAGAAGGAGAGAAAGAGAUGCGAAUGAGACGAGAGAAAAAGAGAGGAGAAAAUUUGAUGCAAUUGACGAGCGUACAUGUUAUUAUUACGUAAUAGCAACUAUAUAUAUAUUCACAUAUAUAUGUAUUGUACAUAUACCUAUGUGUAUAUAUAUACAUACUCGAGAAAGCUGCUUACUUGAAAGCAACCAACAACCAACAGAAGAAAACAAAAAAAUCAAUGAUUAACAUUAUAUACAGAAGUCUAUACAUAUAAACUUUAAAGAACGUGUGCCUAUGUGCGCACGUGCGUACGCGCGCGUACGUGCGGACACUCGACAACCCCGAAUCCACCCGAUUCCCACCUCCUGCCCAACCAACCACCCUCCUCUGCAGCCUCUCUCUCCUUCCUCAACUCUCACAUCCAUCUAUCCCCCCUCUCUGCCCCUUCACCCUCAUCUGUCCAUCCAUCCAUCCAUCCAUCCAUCUAUCCAUCCAUCUAUCCCUUCUCCCCCUUCCCUUCAUCCUUUCUCUUCCUGUCUUUCUGUGUCUCCCUCCAUUCUACUUCACACGCACUUGCGCACAUAUCCAUGACGCAUUACCGUAGCCGUGUUGUGUAGGGAAUGUCUUUAACGAAUAAGAUACGAUUUCUCAUGUUACAUGUUAUAAGAAGCAAAAAAAAAGAAAAAAAAAACGAAGCAGCAAAAGUAACUCAAAAAAGAAAAAAAAAAGAUAAUAACGAGACAAAUCUCUUCUCCGGUCAGUUGCAGGAUCGCUCGAACGUUGUCGAAUCAAUAAUCCUGUAGACGAUUCCGUGUUGUAAAGAAAGAAAGAAAGAAAGAAAGAAAAGAAAAGGAAGAAGCAGAGAAAAAAUAGAGAAAAGAGGAAAGGAAGAAAGGAAUACGUGACACGAGAGAAAAGGCGAAGGGAACUUUCGUUGAGGAAUGUACGCAUAUACUCUGUACAUUACAAGUUGUUCGUAUUCAUUAUUAUUGUUAUUAUUAUUAUCACUACGAUUAUUAUAAUUAUUACUAUUAUUGCUACAGAUAUGUGUAUAUAUGUAUACAUGUAUAUCAGUGUGUAUAUACAUAUAGACACGUAUUACGCGUGUUUUGCCAGCCGCGGUGUUCCUUUAUUCGUGGCUCAACUUUUUUCCCCUCUUUCCAGCCGACCCACUUGCUAUGCCACAGCCAAUGAUCGUGCUUUUCUCGUCACAACAGAAAAAUCUACAAGUCGAUUAACAAACCGGCCGAAAUAUGAGAAAAUGAAAAUGCGAUUGAAGAUGCCAUCGGGAUAGGUUGACGCGUUCAAUCGUUCAUCAUUCCGUUUCGUUGCCACCCUCUUGAAAUUAAAGAUUUUUUCGUUUAAAAUGAAAUUACAAAAAGUUAGAGUAUGUUAGUUGUCUCAUUUUGCGUUCAAAGACGAAACGAUUACCGAAAUGCAUACUCGAUGUUUCGUUAUUCUGUUCGUUUGAGACGUCAGCCUAUAAAAGUAUGUAUGUAUUUCUCUAGAGAAUGCCAUCACGCAAAGGUGCAUGUAGAAUGUACAUACAUAUCUUUAGGAAAGUUCCUUUGAAAUCACUUUUCAAGUUCUUAAAGUUGCUUUCUCUUGUUCCAUCGCUACGAUUAUAUCACUUCCCUUGCUUAUUGAAAAAUAUUUAACACUUUGUACUUUGUAUCUAUCUACGAUUCGUGUUUCAGGUUUUUUCCAUUUACAAAUUGGACGAUGAAAAACUAGAAAAAGUAUUCCAUUAUUUUGUUUAAUAGAGCUAAUCGAGUAUGACAUUCCAGUCUAAGAUAUUUUCUUGGAUAUUUUUAUUUUUUCGUCCUAAAGUAUUAGUCUUAAAAAUUAAAAAAUAUCGUGCUAUCGGGAUAAUUGCGAUCGAAACGUCAGCAUAUGGCAUAAGAAGUUGAAAAAGAGACGAGAGGAUGCACGAUCCGCGAACAAUGAAUCGGAUAUGCGGGUCAACGAUGUUAGCUAGCGUUGUGACCAGUUUUUCCUUAUACUUAACUUUGACCGAGAGAGUCCUCACGGCACGGCGUAGAUGGAAAAGUCGGGCGGUGGGUUAUCGAUCAUUAAGAAUCAGAUAUAUAUGCAUUAUUCCGUACCAAGUACGGCUAGAGCUAUCGAGUAAUUUAAUAUAGAAUUAAAACAGUCAACUGUAUCGCGAUUAACGGAGCACGAACGAAGAAAGGCCUGCAUCGACCAUCUUUCCUCCACACUUUUAACCCGAUUUCCCGUUCCUUCCAAAAAAAAACCCAGUUCCCGUUAUUCUAAUAUUCCUGCCUCCCUCUAACCCUCAACAAAAACAAGAUAACAUAUUGUAAUCUAUUGUAGAUUGUUGUAGAUAAAUUAUACGGUUUGACCGUACAUUGUUACUUUUUGUCGACAAUAUAAAAUACACAGAUAUAUAAGUAAUUAA